AUGACGCGAUGAACGAUGUCAUGAUGAGUUGAUACAUGACGUCAUGACGUGGCAACAUGUUCCCACAUAAAUCGAGUAUUUUCUCCCAGUUAAACUCUGCUAUAUUUUCCUAGUUGAACUAUAAUUAAUUUAAGAAUAUUUUAGUCAUAUUAGGACUUUAAUAUUAUCCUAUUUCAAGGGUCUUUGUAACCCUAUUUUUGAGAGUUGAUAGAAUAUCUCUUAUGUGAGCUUUGAUCAAGAGUUCUAAGGGGAGUUUUUUUAGAGAGCUUUGUAUUCAGGUUUUAGGUUUUACUUAUUUAGGUUUAUUUUCU
This 311-nucleotide long non-coding RNA is filed under the name Gossypium raimondii (Peruvian cotton). RNAcentral's name for it is "long non-coding RNA (GRAI_LNC005919)". Lineage: Eukaryota; Viridiplantae; Streptophyta; Magnoliopsida; Malvales; Malvaceae. The record is from RNAcentral.